Molecule: long non-coding RNA, 142 nt
Organism: Amblyraja radiata (thorny skate)
Lineage: Eukaryota; Metazoa; Chordata; Chondrichthyes; Rajiformes; Rajidae
Exons: 3
Source: RefSeq, a predicted model, not a curated record
CUCCAAUUUGCGCUGGGCCUCACUCUGACAAUGGAGGAGACCCAGGACAGAAACGUCAGAUUGGGAAUUGGAGGGGUAGUUGAAGUGCUGAACCACUGGGAUAUCAGGUAUGUUAAGACAGACUAAGUGGAGGUGAUCAGCG